RNAcentral lists this ribosomal RNA (767 nucleotides) under Vibrio parahaemolyticus. RNAcentral describes it as "bacterial SSU rRNA". It matches the Rfam family "Bacterial small subunit ribosomal RNA", at positions 1 to 747 of the family's 1533-position model. Lineage: Bacteria; Pseudomonadati; Pseudomonadota; Gammaproteobacteria; Vibrionales; Vibrionaceae. The record is from RNAcentral.
AAAUUGAAGAGUUUGAUCAUGGCUCAGAUUGAACGCUGGCGGCAGGCCUAACACAUGCAAGUCGAGCGGAAACGAGUUAUCUGAACCUUUGGGGGACGAUAACGGCGUCGAGCGGCGGACGGGUGAGUAAUGCCUAGGAAAUUGCCCUGAUGUGGGGGAUAACCAUUGGAAACGAUGGCUAAUACCGCAUGAUGCCUACGGGCCAAAGAGGGGGACCUUCGGGCCUCUCGCGUCAGGAUAUGCCUAGGUGGGAUUAGCUAGUUGGUGAGGUAAGGGCUCACCAAGGCGACGAUCCCUAGCUGGUCUGAGAGGAUGAUCAGCCACACUGGAACUGAGACACGGUCCAGACUCCUACGGGAGGCAGCAGUGGGGAAUAUUGCACAAUGGGCGCAAGCCUGAUGCAGCCAUGCCGCGUGUGUGAAGAAGGCCUUCGGGUUGUAAAGCACUUUCAGUCGUGAGGAAGGCGGCGUCGUUAAUAGCGGCGUUGUUUGACGUUAGCGACAGAAGAAGCACCGGCUAACUCCGUGCCAGCAGCCGCGGUAAUACGGAGGGUGCGAGCGUUAAUCGGAAUUACUGGGCGUAAAGCGCAUGCAGGUGGUUUGUUAAGUCAGAUGUGAAAGCCCGGGGCUCAACCUCGGAAUUGCAUUUGAAACUGGCAGACUAGAGUACUGUAGAGGGGGGUAGAAUUUCAGGUGUAGCGGUGAAAUGCGUAGAGAUCUGAAGGAAUACCGGUGGCGAAGGCGGCCCCCUGGACAGAUACUGACACU